AAAGAUUCCCGCUUCAAGAUAUAUGAGAAAUCAAGUCCUCAAAGAGUGGAAAAUAUUAACAACUUGCACUCAAGCCACCAAUGUGAGUUUCAAAUAUUCAUGGCGACCAGAAGCUACCAAACCACCAGAGACAGUGCCAUACAUCAAAAACUUCAAACAAUUACAAAACCAAAAUCAAUUCUCGCUUUGGGUCCCUGAGUUCAAUGCUUACAGUACUUUGGAAUAUUUUUGACAGCUAACCUAGAAUGAAAACACUUGCAAGUGCUCUUCGCGCAUGUAUAUGCAUAUGGUGCUGGGAUCAUAUCUGUGUGUAAAUACAAACAACCACUGACCAAGACAACUACGUACGUACGUACAUUAGAUAACAAAAACACUGCACCCAGAUGGUUCUCUACAUUAGAUAACAAAAACACUGCACCCAGAUGGUUCUCUUCGUUAUCAUUCAAUGGCAACCACCGGUACUACCAUUACAACAUAAACACACACAGUCCAACGUGCACAGAUUAUACUUUAUGCAAGUGCACUCA
RNAcentral lists this long non-coding RNA (527 nucleotides) under Populus trichocarpa (black cottonwood). Its description in RNAcentral is "long non-coding RNA (PTRI_LNC000291)". Lineage: Eukaryota; Viridiplantae; Streptophyta; Magnoliopsida; Malpighiales; Salicaceae. The record is from RNAcentral.